Molecule: non-coding RNA, 30 nt
Filed under: Rattus norvegicus (Norway rat)
Lineage: Eukaryota; Metazoa; Chordata; Mammalia; Rodentia; Muridae
Source: RNAcentral
UGUGUGUACGUAUGUGCAGAGCAUGUUAAU